UGUUUAGUGUUGGUUAAACCUUGCAGAACUGUUUCGGAGAUUCUUUUUGUUAUUUUGUAUUCAGUGUUCAGUCAGUUAAGCUAAUGCAUUUUGGUCCAAUAACUCUUCUUCUUCCGACAAAAGCCGUGACACAUAUAAUAUUCAAGUUGUGGACUAGAUGAAGGGACAGAUCUGUGGAAAGGCUGAUGGGGAAGUCAGACAGGAAUACCAUACACCCAGUGGAUGCCUGACCAAUAGCCCAGUCAGCUUCACCCAUUCCUGGGUGCUUCCUUCCGAAAACUGCCGUGACAAGUCUGAUCGAGUCUGUAAAGCUGGAGAAGCACGUGAUUGUUGAUGGCAAGGAGUCCAAAUGCUACUGAGUAUGUGAUGCGCUGUCUGCCUGGCUGCCUCCCAGUGAGGACCAUCCCUGUCACCAGUGGUUUCUAACUGCCU
Oncorhynchus mykiss (rainbow trout) is the source of this 432-nucleotide non-coding RNA. The record is from RefSeq and is a predicted model, not a curated record. NCBI's taxonomy places the organism in Eukaryota, Metazoa, Chordata, Actinopteri, Salmoniformes, Salmonidae.